Molecule: ribosomal RNA, 468 nt
Filed under: uncultured bacterium
Lineage: Bacteria
Description: partial 16S ribosomal RNA
Rfam family: Bacterial small subunit ribosomal RNA
Source: RNAcentral
GACGAACGCUGGCGGCGUGCUUAACACAUGCAAGUCGAACGGAAAGGCCCUGCUUUUGUGGGGUGCUCGAGUGGCGAACGGGUGAGUAACACGUGAGUAACCUGCCCUUGACUUUGGGAUAACUUCAGGAAACUGGGGCUAAUACCGGAUAGGAGCUCCUGCUGCAUGGUGGGGGUUGGAAAGUUUCGGCGGUUGGGGAUGGACUCGCGGCUUAUCAGCUUGUAGGUGGGGUAGUGGCUUACCAAGGCUUUGACGGGUAGCCGGCCUGAGAGGGUGACCGGCCACAUUGGGACUGAGAUACGGCCCAGACUCCUACGGGAGGCAGCAGUGGGGAAUAUUGCACAAUGGGCGGAAGCCUGAUGCAGCAAUGCCGCGUGCGGGAUGACGGCCUUCGGGUUGUAAACCGCUUUCGCCUGUGACGAAGCGUGAGUGACGGUAAUGGGUAAAGAAGCACCGGCUAACUACGUG